RNAcentral lists this transfer RNA (68 nucleotides) under Cordylochernes scorpioides. RNAcentral describes it as "tRNA-Gly". Lineage: Eukaryota; Metazoa; Arthropoda; Arachnida; Pseudoscorpiones; Chernetidae. The record is from RNAcentral.
UGCAUCGGCCGGGAAUCGAACCCGGGGCGCCCGCGUGGCAGGCGAACAUUCACCACUGAACCAAAAGC